GUCGAACGCUUCUUUUUCCACCGGAGCUUGCUCCACCGGAAAAAGAGGAGUGGCGAACGGGUGAGUAACACGUGGGUAACCUGCCCAUCAGAAGGGGAUAACACUUGGAAACAGGUGCUAAUACCGUAUAACAAUCGAAACCGCAUGGUUUUGAUUUGAAAGGCGCUUUCGGGUGUCGCUGAUGGAUGGACCCGCGGUGCAUUAGCUAGUUGGUGAGGUAACGGCUCACCAAGGCGACGAUGCAUAGCCGACCUGAGAGGGUGAUCGGCCACAUUGGGACUGAGACACGGCCCAAACUCCUACGGGAGGCAGCAGUAGGGAAUCUUCGGCAAUGGACGAAAGUCUGACCGAGCAACGCCGCGUGAGUGAAGAAGGUUUUCGGAUCGUAAAACUCUGUUGUUAGAGAAGAACAAGGAUGAGAGUAACUGUUCAUCCCUUGACGGUAUCUAACCAGAAAGCCACGGCUAACUACGUGCCA
Molecule: ribosomal RNA, 478 nt
Filed under: Enterococcus hirae
Lineage: Bacteria; Bacillati; Bacillota; Bacilli; Lactobacillales; Enterococcaceae
Description: bacterial SSU rRNA
Rfam family: Bacterial small subunit ribosomal RNA
Source: RNAcentral